RNAcentral lists this long non-coding RNA (6457 nucleotides) under Ficedula albicollis (Collared flycatcher). Its description in RNAcentral is "lncRNA (ENSFALG00000025147.1)". Lineage: Eukaryota; Metazoa; Chordata; Aves; Passeriformes; Muscicapidae. The record is from RNAcentral.
GGGGGGGGGGGGGGGGGGGGGGGGGGGGGGGGGGGGGGGGGGGGGGGGGGGGGGGGGGGGGGGGGGGGGGGGGGGGGGGGGGGGGGGGGGGGGGGGGGGGGGGGGGGGGGGGGGGGGGGGUGGCGGAACCCGCAGCAUCCCUCGCCCGCCCCCACCGCCCUCGCUCUCUUCCACCUCUGUUUUCCUAGUCCUUGAGGGGAUUAAAAAAAAAAAAACCAAAACAAAUAAAAAACCUAAAACAACAACAACAACAAAAAAGAAAACAAACAAAAAAAAAAAAAGACGGGGAAGGCAUAAAUUUGAAGUCAGAAGGAAAAAGGAAAGCAGCAAGUUCGCUUGCGCGGGGAUGCAGCGCCUGGCCGGGCCGGGAGAGGCUGUUCCAGGGCUGCCCUCGGGCCGGGAGAGGCUGUUCCAGGGCUGCCCUCGGGCCGGGCGAGGCCCGAGACGUUUCCCCGCAGCUCCUGCGGGCGCUGCACAGCCCCGCGCUCUCUCCUCUCCUCUCCUCUCCUCUCCCCGUCGGGGCGCGCACCGGGCGCUCCCCCCGCGCAGCUGUCGGUUCGCUCGGGGCCGCUGCCGGGAUCAAUGGGGCCGGGAUCAAUGGGGCCGGGAUCAAUGGGGCCGGGCUCGCCCCGCCCGGUCCCGCACAUGGGCGCUUCUCAUGCGGGACGGGCGGCCCGGGAAGGCGACAGCUGCCGCUGCCGUCGGGGGGGGGGGGGGGGGGGGGGGGGGGGGGGGGGCUGCCGCUGCCGUCAGGGGAGCGCGGCGCCGGUGCCAUGUGUCGGCGGGGAUGAAUGAGGGGAAGGAGAUGAGCAUCUCGUGUCCAUCAAGCACCAGUUUUUCACAGCGAAUUUUUUUUUUUCUCCUUUCCCAGGCGUUAGCGAAAGCAUCUGGUUGUCCCUCCUUCCCCGGGGGGGGGGGGGGGGGGGGGGGGGGGGGGGGGGGGGGGGGGGGGGGGGGGGGGGGCCGUGCCCAGCCCCUCCCCUGGGGCUGCGGGGUCCCGAUGCGAACCCCCCAAAACCCCGCUCGGGGCAGGAGGCAGCACAGACCGAGGGGACACUGGGGGCAGUGGGGACAGCGGGGUGCCCCCUCUGCCUCAUCCCCCCCAGCGGGGAUCCCGACCCAGAGCAGGCGUUUGAGAGGCCAAAAUGCCCGCGCCCGUCUCCAGCAGGAUCCGAAAAUCAAACCCCAGCGCGGCCCGGCUGCCCCUCCCGACCCAGAGCAGGCGUUUGAGAGGCCAAAAUGCCCGCGCCCGUCUCCAGCAGGAUCCGAAAAUCAAACCCCAGCGGGGCCCGGCUGCCCCGGCCUCCUGCACCCCCGGGAGCCCGAGGGGAGGGGGAAAAGCCCCGAGGAAGCAGCAGCGUGUGCCGCCCCCUCGCAGGGCCGGGUGAUGGAAACGGGGGGGAUUUUUUUGGUUUUUUGUAUUUCGCAAUUCGCCUGGGUAGAGGCCCCGAACCCCACUGGGAUCCGGCCGGGAUGCUCCAGAGCAACCCCGGGCGGCCUCAGUGCUGGAAAGGAGAGACAUUAAGAGAGUAAAAAAGGAGGAAAAAAAAAAAAAAAAAAAAAAAAAGACAGCUAGGCCAGAAAUGAAAGACAUAUAAAAUAUAAGGGUAGGAGAAUUUUUUUCCUCCAUUCAGCAUACCCUGAGAACCUGAUUGUCAUCCAAUUAGAGGCUGAGUUAAGGUCUGAUUAAUCUAUCACAAGCAAAAGGGUUUUAAAAAGGGAAAUUAAAAAACUAAAAAAAAAAAGGAAAAAAAUGAAAUUAAAAGAGGAAAACCAAAAUUUUAAAAAAUAGAGAGUGUGAGUAGAAUAGUGAAAGAGACCCAAAUAAAGAGAGAGAAAAUAAAAUAGUUUGAAAAAUGAAAAACGCCAAACAAACUCAAAAUCAUUCUAAACCUAAUACCGAAGAAAUAAACCAAGACCCUUUCUGGCGAGUUUAAAUUUGCAUUUUAUGGGUAUCGUUCCCGUCUUUUAGUUAAACAUCGCCCUGUUUCGCCACCGCUGCGCUCAGUACUGGGAUUUCUCUCUCUUUUACGGGGUCCCCGUGAUCCCGGGGACCACCGCGGCUCGUGGAGCAUCCCCGCAUCCCCACCGAGCCAAAACUUCCCUCCCACGCACGGGCAGAAGCUUUCCACCACAUCCAUCCCCCGACAGCACAAAGUUUUUCCUCUUUCUCCAUUUAUUUUUAAUUUUAUUUUCUUUUUCCUCUCCUUUUUCACCUCUCUCCGCGGCCGCGCGGGCUCGGGGAGGAUGCCGGGCUCGGAGCCGGUGACGGGGCGGGGGGAGCCCUGAGCUCCCCGGGGGGCUCUCCCGGCGGUGUCUUGGGGGUACAGCCCGCACAGGAGGUGGGGGUCCCACCUCUCCCCCCGUCCCCAGCACCUUCCCCCGCAGAAAGAGCGCCUCCGCCUGAUUAAAUACAUACGCGGUUAACGCGCUAUCCAAAUAUUGAAGUUAAGGUGUAAUUAAGCCUGCAGAACAUCCCCGCGCAAUAAACCCCACGGCUGGACAGGAUCCAUCCCCAGGUUUGUUUUAAAAGAGCUUGGGAAAGGAAAAAAAAAAAAGAAAAAAAAGAAGAUAAGAAGGAGAAGAAGAAGAUCUUUAAAUUAUGUAUUAGAAAGUCCCAGUUUAUCCUGCCACACUCGGGUCGAUGCUGAGGGUAAACACAACACUGUCGCCCCCCGGCUCCGCUCGCCUUUCCCUUUUCUUUUAUUUCUUUUCUAUUUAUUUUCCUUUUUCCUUAUUUAUAGGGUAAACACAACACUGUCGCCCCCCGGCUCCGCUCGCCUUUCCCUUUUCUUUUAUUUCUUUUCUAUUUAUUUUCCUUUUUCCCUAUUUAUUUUCCUGCCCCCCUCCCCCGUGAUUAGCCCUCCCGGGUUUCUUCCCACGUCGCUAAAUGUUGUCGCUUACACUCCGAGCUCAUGCAUUGUUUAUGGGAAAUACGGUUAAUAAAUAAUUACAAAUCCGAGGUGCGCGGCUCUGCCUCUGAGUGACGGGAAAGUGUCCGGGAAGGGGCCGGGGGUGGGACAGCUGAGCGGGAUCCUUCCCCGCUAAAGGGCACAUAAAAGGCGAAUAAAAGAGAAAAGAAAGAAAAGUGGAGAGGUAGAGGGGGCGAGGGGGGGGCUAUAAAAAAGAGGGUGAAGCGAACCCCCGGAGGAUGCACCGCUCCCGGCUCAUCCAUCUUCAUUGUCUCCGUGUGUGCAAAAGCAACUCCGGUCUAAGGAAAAGCCACUAUCAAAGCCAUGGCUUUAUUUUAUAUCCUAUAGAUCAGGAGGGAGGCAAAGCUUUAUUUUCGCCCAGAGACAGAUAUUUUAUUUCUCUCUUACGGUUUUAUGUGUGAGAGAUGUCAAAAAGGUAAAAUAGAUUGCUAAUGCAUAGGCAAAACGAAGCUGUUUUGGCAUGCUCUGUGUCAGGAGGGCUCCCGGGGAGCGCGGGCUGGGGAUUUAGGGCUGAUGGGGGACUCGGGGGGAUUCUGCUAAAACAUCUCUCUCCAUAAAUCCAGCCGCAUGGUCAGCGCGAGCGGCAGGAGGAAUUUUAAAGGGGAAGAGUCGGAGCGCGGCGGAGCGGAGCGGAUCCCGGCGGGGUCCCGGGGGAUCGCGGGGGGCGCAGCCGCCGCUCCCAUCGCUUCUCCCGGCGGAGCUGGGCACCGGCCCGAGCACAAAGCGCUCCCGGCCAACCACAACCCCCUCGCCUGCUUUUAUUUCAUUAUUUCAUUCUAUUUUUUUUUUUCCCCCCCAAAACAAGCACCCAUCCUCCGACUAUCGGUCCGACUCCCGGAGCUGCGGCUGCUCAGCAUCUGCCUCCCCGACCCCGGCUGCGGAUCUACGCGGACCUUUUCCAAAGUUAAAAUAUAUCUCCCCAAGCUGCAACAAUUUUCAUACUUUUUGACCUCGGGGAUUUACUUAGCGCGUUAAGUUCAAGGCUCGGAAGCCCAGGGCUAUUACUCAUUUAGGCACUCCCACCACCAACACUUUUCACCACAUAUUUUAUCAUUUGACUUCCCGGCUUAAAUUCAUGUUAUGGCAAAUAAUGGAUGGUAAUACUUUCCCCCUUCCCCAUGUUAAUUGUCUUGUCUGACAGCCUCCGCAUUUGAAGUGAUUUAAAGCAAACAAGGGUGCAGCGAGAGCAGGAGACACAAAACCUCUGCGGGAGCCCCGCGGCUCCGGCUCUUCCCUCCCGGGUCUGGGCUGGAUCCCGAGCGCAGCAAAUCCUCCCCAAAAGCAUCGCCCAGCCCUCGCUGCGGUCACUGCAUCGCUUCUUCCCAGCGCCCCGCAGCCCCCGGGGGGACUCACCCCUGCCUCGGGCCCCUCCAACUUCGCUGCCCAAAAAUAUUCCUUCCUUGGGGUGGCUGAAAUGGGGAAUCAGACCAGAGCGCUAUUUGCAAAUUGGAAAAAAAAGGCAAGGUGUACUUGAUUAGGAAAUUAAUUAUUUCAGCACCCCCAGGAUUAUAUUGUUUUUCUAAGUUCUGUGGGCCUGUGUGAUUUACCAAUUUCACAGUGGCUGAACUUCCCUGGCAGUGAGAGUCAAUCUCCCCUCCGCGACACGCAGGCGGCUCCUCGGCAGCGUCGGAGGGAAGGGGGAGCCCAGAGCUCUCCCUCUGCUCCUGCCACCGUGACCCCGGCCAAAUUCUUCGCUUCUGCUCUUUCUGCGAGCGGGCAGCGCCUCCCUUGCCAGCGGGAGCAGCUCCUCCUGUGAGAAAGGAGCAGCCGCCCGGGCGUCUCUGCCCGGCGCUGGCACUGCCCUCCCGUGCCCCUGAGGAAAAGGGGCCGCAGCAUCCAUCACACGUCCUCCUCAAGGAGCUGCAGAAGAGGAUUCCCAGCACAGAAGGGCUUUUGUCACCAGCAGAAUGUCAGAUUUUGGUGCUGACAUCACUGAAGUGAUGGGAAAAAUAACUGAAAUCCAAACAGGCAGGACUGUGCCAGAAAACAUGCAGAUGCAGGGGCAGAGCUCGGUUCAGAUCACCUGGGCAGGUACCACAGCAGCAGAUUCCCCUCAGAGUGACAGCGAACCCAGAGCUCCUGGCUGUGUCUGUAUCUGUCAGCUCAGUCCUGACUAAUCCUCUGUCUAUAGAUGCUGUCGUUUGUUACGGUACUACAUCACAUCCUAUUUAUAUUAUUUGCUGUUUUAAAGGAUCUCAGAGGCCGUGGAGGCUCUGGCCAGCCUGGCCCCCCUUCUCCCCUCACCAAUCCUGGGUUAGUGCAGCUGGAGCCCAGCAAAGUCCUGGCUCCUGGGUGCCUCCACAUGCACAUUUUGAGCCUCUGUUUCCUUCCCCUCAGCCCUGAGUGAUGCUCCAAGCGUGGCUGACGUGCACAGAGCUCCUCUCAACACCAGUGGGAUGUGGCAGGCACAGCCACCAUCCCAUCACCCCGAGGUGCAUCAGUAUGCUGUGUUCAGGAUGAAAAAAACUGAAUCAUUUUGGUCUAGAAUGUGAAAUUUCAAAUUUUUCCAGGGGUUGAGCUCCAUCCCCAUGCGGAUCCUGCUGUCCCCUGCUGUGCUGUGCCCAUGCAGGGCAGAGUCACACGCUGGCACAACAAAGGGCCAACCCUCCAUGCUCAGAAGCACUUUAAAAAACAAAUAUCAUCCUAAAAACCCCCAUCCUUGGCAUCUUUGUGGCUCUUCACAGCGUGUCGCUGAGUUUUGGGGCCCAGGAGCCCCGUGCCAGCCCAGCCCCAGGGUGCUCCUUUCCUCUCUUUGAGCAUCACCACGAGGGCACCAGAGAUUUCCCCUUGCAAACAAGUAAACCUUGUUUCCCCAAACCCUGGUGAGCAGAUUCACCAGGUCUCUUCCUCCUGCCUGGGAAAUGUCACCAUUUUCACAGAGAACAAGUCUCUGCAGGAGCUGGGGUGUCUGUGCUGCUGAUGUCGCCUCCGUACCAGAAGGGAAACUUCAGGCUCAGAAACUGUGAGUCUGCAGAAUUCCCUACCAAUGUGGCUUUUCCAGUCGUUGAAAUAAAAUCUACAUGGCUGCAAUUAGUCAAUAUUUGCAAAGCCUCUAAGAUUGCAGAAUAAAUGGCUGAGAGAAAUUCUCAUGGUUAUUAGACAAAUGCAUUAAUAACAACGGCGGUGGCUGCUGAGGAGACGUCGCCCCUAAUGAUGUACAAUUUAUUUCCUUAAGGCUGUGCUAAUAAACAAAACUGCUUUUUAGAAUCUGCUCUGUUUAUUCCACAUGCACCCUCAGAUCAAAUAAGUUUCUCUCAGCGCAGCAGCAUCUUCCUGCUCUGCCUCUCUGCAGCCCCUCAUUAACUCCUGCUGUGCCGAGGUCAGGGACACACAGCCCUGCCCAAAUACCAGCCCUGCUGCCCUUGGUCCCUUUGGGGCAUCCCAAAGGGUCCCUUAAGCUCAGUGAUGGGUGUUUGUCCUCAUCCCAUGCCAUUUGUGGCAGUCCCUGAUGGAUCUGUGAGCCAUGGACCACCUGCACACUCCCUGACCCGCCCAAACACUCAGCAGGGUUUGUUCCCUGUGAC